CGCUGGCGGCAUGCCUAACACAUGCAAGUCGAACGAUGCCUUCGGGCAUAGUGGCGCACGGGUGCGUAACGCGUGGGAAUCUGCCCUUGGGUUCGGAAUAACUCAGAGAAACUUGAGCUAAUACCGGAUGAUGACGUAAGUCCAAAGAUUUAUCGCCCAAGGAUGAGCCCGCGUAAGAUUAGCUAGUUGGUGGGGUAAAGGCCUACCAAGGCGACGAUCUUUAGCUGGUCUGAGAGGAUGAUCAGCCACACUGGGACUGAGACACGGCCCAGACUCCUACGGGAGGCAGCAGUGGGGAAUAUUGGACAAUGGGCGAAAGCCUGAUCCAGCAAUGCCGCGUGAGUGAUGAAGGCCUUAGGGUUGUAAAGCUCUUUACCAGGGAUGAUAAUGACAGUACCUGGAGAAUAAGCUCCGGCUAACUCCGUG
RNAcentral lists this ribosomal RNA (426 nucleotides) under uncultured bacterium. RNAcentral describes it as "bacterial SSU rRNA". It matches the Rfam family "Bacterial small subunit ribosomal RNA", at positions 34 to 507 of the family's 1533-position model. The record is from RNAcentral.